This 446-nucleotide ribosomal RNA is filed under the name uncultured prokaryote. Its description in RNAcentral is "bacterial SSU rRNA". It matches the Rfam family "Bacterial small subunit ribosomal RNA", at positions 355 to 796 of the family's 1533-position model. The record is from RNAcentral.
UCGAGAAUCUUCCGCAAUGGACGCAAGUCUGACGGAGCGACGCCGCGUGCGGGAUGAAGGCCUUCGGGUUGUAAACCGCUGUCAGUUGGGAGGAAAUGCAUAGGGGCACUCUCCUAUGUUUGACCGAUCUUCAGAGGAAGUCCGGGCUAAGUUCGUGCCAGCAGCCGCGGUAAGACGAACCGGACGAACGUUAUUCGGAAUCACUGGGCUUAAAGAGUGCGUAGGCGGCCUUGUAGGUUGGGUGUGAAAUCCCACAGCUCAACUGUGGAACUGCGCUCAAAACCACAAGGCUAGAGGAAGGUAGAGGUAAGCGGAACUGAUGGUGGAGCGGUGAAAUGCGUUGAUAUCAUCAGGAACACCAGUGGCGAAGGCGGCUUACUGGGCCUUUUCUGACGCUGAGGCACGAAAGCUAGGGUAGCGAACGGGAUUAGAUACCCCCGUAGUCC